RNAcentral lists this transfer RNA (76 nucleotides) under Thymallus thymallus (grayling). Its description in RNAcentral is "partial tRNA-Pro". Lineage: Eukaryota; Metazoa; Chordata; Actinopteri; Salmoniformes; Salmonidae. The record is from RNAcentral.
UAGUGCUCAGAGAGAGGAGAUUUUAACUCCCACCCUUAACUCCCAAAGCUAAGAUUCUAAGUUAAACUACCCUCUG